AAAAACUUAAUUUUUAGGUUUCCGUGUCCGAUGUUUGACCAUCCGUCUUAUAUAAAAUUUUUGUAUAAUUAGUAUUUUCAUUAUUGUUAAAUGAUAAAACAUGAAUAAUACUUUAUACAUGGCUUACUUUUUAAAUUUUUUUAUAAUUUUUUAAAAUAAGACGAACAAUCAAACGUUAGACACGGAAAUUCAGGAAUUAAG
Oryza sativa Indica Group (long-grained rice) is the source of this 201-nucleotide microRNA precursor. It matches the Rfam family "MIR812 microRNA precursor family". Lineage: Eukaryota; Viridiplantae; Streptophyta; Magnoliopsida; Poales; Poaceae. The record is from Rfam.